AAGAAGUUUAGCCUGCCCGGUGGUUUAAACGGCGGCGGUAUUUUGACUGUGCUAAGGUAGCACAAUCACUUGUUUCUUAAUUGGUAACUGGAAUGAACGGUUGAACUGGCCUAGUGAGUGUGUGCGGUUAAACAGAAAGUUAAAGUCGGGGUAAGAAUUCUUCGAUAUUUUAGGGGACGAUAAGACCCUACAAGCUUGAUAAAGAUAGAAAUGACUUUGUAUUUUGAGUUACUUUGUUUUACUGGGGUGGUAUUGGUAUUUUAACUACCAGUUAAAUCAGGAUCCUUUAAAUAUAGAUGAAAUGGGAAAGUUACUUUAGGGGUAACAGUGCAAUAUUUUUGGAGAGGUCUUAUCGAUAGGUAUGGUUGCAACCUCGAUGUUGAAUUAAAAUUUCUACGUGAAGCAGAAAGUAUAGUAGAGGGUUUGUUCAACCUUUAAAUUUUUACAUGAUCUGAGUCCAAACACGGA
RNAcentral lists this ribosomal RNA (468 nucleotides) under Acanthogammarus victorii. RNAcentral's name for it is "partial 16S ribosomal RNA". It matches the Rfam family "Bacterial large subunit ribosomal RNA", at positions 1847 to 2622 of the family's 2925-position model. The record is from RNAcentral. Lineage: Eukaryota; Metazoa; Arthropoda; Malacostraca; Amphipoda; Acanthogammaridae.